This 492-nucleotide ribosomal RNA is filed under the name uncultured bacterium. RNAcentral's name for it is "partial 16S ribosomal RNA". It matches the Rfam family "Bacterial small subunit ribosomal RNA", at positions 29 to 507 of the family's 1533-position model. The record is from RNAcentral.
AGUGAACGCUGGCGGUAGGCCUAACACAUGCAAGUCGAACGGCAGCACAGUAAGAGCUUGCUCUUACGGGUGGCGAGUGGCGGACGGGUGAGGAAUACAUCGGAAUCUACUUUUUCGUGGGGGAUAACGUAGGGAAACUUACGCUAAUACCGCAUACGACCUACGGGUGAAAGCAGGGGAUCUUCGGACCUUGCGCGAUUGAAUGAGCCGAUGUCGGAUUAGCUAGUUGGCGGGGUAAAGGCCCACCAAGGCGACGAUCCGUAGCUGGUCUGAGAGGAUGAUCAGCCACACUGGAACUGAGACACGGUCCAGACUCCUACGGGAGGCAGCAGAGGGGAAUAUUGGACAAUGGGCGCAAGCCUGAUCCAGCCAUACCGCGUGGGUGAAGAAGGCCUUCGGGUUGUAAAGCCCUUUUGUUGGGAAAGAAAAGCAGCAGGUUAAUACCCCGCUGUUCUGACGGUACCCAAAGUACAAGCACCGGCUAACUUCGUG